RNAcentral lists this ribosomal RNA (492 nucleotides) under uncultured Lachnospiraceae bacterium. RNAcentral's name for it is "bacterial SSU rRNA". It matches the Rfam family "Bacterial small subunit ribosomal RNA", at positions 17 to 507 of the family's 1533-position model. Lineage: Bacteria; Bacillati; Bacillota; Clostridia; Lachnospirales; Lachnospiraceae. The record is from RNAcentral.
UCCUGGCUCAGGAUGAACGCUGGCGGCGUGCUUAACACAUGCAAGUCGAACGAAGCGCUACCGACGGAACUUUUCGGAGGGAAGAUGGUAAUGACUGAGUGGCGGACGGGUGAGUAACGCGUGGGUAACCUGCCUCACAGAGGGGGACAACAGCCGGAAACGGCUGCUAAUACCGCAUAACAAGGGAUUGCCGCAUGACGAUCCUUUCAAAGAUUUAUCGCUGUGAGAUGGACCCGCGUCUGAUUAGCUUGUUGGUGGGGUAACGGCCUACCAAGGCGACGAUCAGUAGCCGGCUUGAGAGAGUGAACGGCCACAUUGGGACUGAGACACGGCCCAGACUCCUACGGGAGGCAGCAGUGGGGAAUAUUGCACAAUGGGGGAAACCCUGAUGCAGCGACGCCGCGUGAGUGAAGAAGUAUUUCGGUAUGUAGAGCUCUAUCAGCAGGGAAGAUAAUGACGGUACCUGACUAAGAAGCCCCGGCUAACUACGUG